Molecule: long non-coding RNA, 629 nt
Filed under: Homo sapiens (human)
Lineage: Eukaryota; Metazoa; Chordata; Mammalia; Primates; Hominidae
Description: HSALNT0127472
Source: RNAcentral
GUUAAAUUUUAGCAAAUGAAUAUGAGGUGACAGCCAUGCAAUCACAUGGCAUCAUUUAUUAGCACUAGUUUGUCUUAAAACUUGAACACAGAGAGUCAGGGCCAGCCAAAUGGAAAUUGUCUGCUCAUAGGAGAAGCCCCGGGGCCAUACUCUGAAAGAGGUAGCUUGGCGACAGACAAAUUUUCUAAGAGAGACAGUAUGGGGAGAAGAAAAGGCAAAGGUCCAAGACUCAAAAAAUGAAUGAAUGUUAAAACAUCAGAAGAGCAAGAUAAACGAGUUAAGAAGAUGGCACAGGAGCCGCAGAGAGGUGGAAGAUGGCUUGGAAGAGUGAAAACAGUUUUGCUGAGGACAGACACUGAAUGGAUUUCAGAAAGUCAUAGGGCCUGGGUGGAAGCCCCAACACAACAGCAGAGUGGAAUCAUGGAUUGGCUAUUCUAUAAUCCAUUCGCCGUGACUGAGGGUGAGAAGUGGAAUUCUAUUUGAGGCUAUAUUUGAGAGCCAUCUUUGAAAAUGAAGAAGUAGUUUGGGCUCUGGGUAUCUUUUCUUUCCUUUUUUUCCCCUUUUUUUCUGAUACAGCCUUCAGCUGAAUGAAAUGUGGGCUUUGAGAUCACCUGUGAUAGCAUUCUCUA